GACGAACGCUGGCGGCGUGCCUAAUACAAGCAAGUCGAGCGAAACAGUGGGAGCUUGCUCCCUGAGAUUAGCGGCGGACGGGUGAGUAACACGUGGGUAACCUGCCUGUAAGACUGGAAUAACUUCGGGAAACCGGAGCUAAUACCGGAUACGUUCUUUUCUCGCAUGAGGAGAGAUGGAAAGAUGGUUCUGCUAUCACUUACAGAUGGACCCGCGGCGCAUUAGCUAGUUGGUAAGGUAACGGCUCACCAAGGCGACGACGCGUAGCCGACCUGAGAGGGUGAUCGGCCACACUGGGACUGAGACACGGCCCAGACUCCUACGGGAGGCAGCAGUAGGGAAUCUUCCGCAAUGGACGAAAGUCUGACGGAGCAACGCCGCGUGAGCGAAGAAGGCCUUCGGGUCGUAAAGCUCUGUUGUUAGGGAAGAACAAGUACGAGAGUAACUGCUCGUACCUUGACGGUACCUAACCAGAAAGCCACGGCUAACUACGUGCCAGCCGCCGCCGUAA
This 511-nucleotide ribosomal RNA is filed under the name uncultured bacterium. Its description in RNAcentral is "partial 16S ribosomal RNA". It matches the Rfam family "Bacterial small subunit ribosomal RNA", at positions 28 to 523 of the family's 1533-position model. The record is from RNAcentral.